This 612-nucleotide ribosomal RNA is filed under the name Paramecium nephridiatum. Its description in RNAcentral is "eukaryotic LSU rRNA". It matches the Rfam family "Eukaryotic large subunit ribosomal RNA", at positions 1 to 612 of the family's 3401-position model. Lineage: Eukaryota; Ciliophora; Oligohymenophorea; Peniculida; Parameciidae. The record is from RNAcentral.
ACCUGAAAUCAAGCAAGAACACCCGCUGAACUUAAGCAUAUCAGUAAGCGGAGGAAAAGAAACUAACAAGGAUUGCCUUAGUAGUGGCGAAUGAACCGGCAAUAGCUCAAAGUGUUAAUCUGUGGCGUACAGUUACAGAAUUGUAAUCUAAAGGCUUUUUAGGGAAGUCAUGAUUCUAGCAUAAGUUCCUUGAAAAGGGAUGCCAAAGAGGGUAAAAGCCCCGUGUUUGGCUAGGAUCGGAUGUACCGAAGGGCUCCAAGAGUCGGGUUGUUUGGGACUGCAGCCCUAAAUGGGAGAUAAACUUCUUCUAAAGCUAAAUAUUUAUGGGAAACCGAUAGCAAACAAGUACUACGAAGGAAAGAUGAAAAGAACUUUGAAAAGAGGGUUAAAAGACUUGAAAUCGUUGAGAAGAAAAGCGGUAGAAGAGAAAUGAUUUCGUUGCGAGUAUGUGCUGUUGUUGUUGCUUUCAGGGGGGAUGGUACUUCAUAGGGCCUACCUUUUGACUAGUGGCGCAUAGGUGCUUUGUCGUAAUGAAGUGCAAAAUGAGGUCUCGUUUAUGGAAACGUUUWUGCGGAAGACGCUGGCCUUGAUGCUGGCAGCUGCGAUUUCCAA